AUCGCCACCCUCAGCCUUGUCAGGGCCAGAAGCUGCCUGUCCCAGACCCCUGGCUGCUCCCGAGGCAGAUCUGUGAGGUCUCUCUGGAGGGCAGCAUGGUUCCCUGCUCACGUUUCUUGCCAGGAUCGGGGCAUUUCUUCCCAGAAGUAUCUGAACUUGCCUCUAGCAGGCCCUACCUUUGCCUCUGACCCUCUCCUGCCCCUCACAGGAGAACCUCAUGCUUUCCAUCCUGCCCAAGCACGUGGCUGACGAGAUGCUGAAAGACAUGAAGAAAGACGAGAGCCAGAAGGACCAGCAGCAGUUCAACACCAUGUACAUGUACCGUCACGAGAACGUCAGCAUCCUCUUUGCCGACAUUGUGGGCUUUACUCAGCUGUCUUCUGCCUGCAGUGCCCAGGAGCUUGUGAAGCUGCUCAACGAGCUCUUUGCCCGCUUUGACAAGCUGGCAGCUAAAUACCACCAGCUGAGGAUUAAGAUCCUGGGCGACUGCUACUACUGCAUCUGCGGCUUGCCUGACUACCGGGAGGACCACGCCGUCUGCUCCAUCCUCAUGGGGCUGGCCAUGGUGGAGGCCAUCUCGUAUGUGCGGGAGAAGACCAAGACU
This 604-nucleotide small RNA is filed under the name Pan troglodytes (chimpanzee). RNAcentral describes it as "retained intron". Lineage: Eukaryota; Metazoa; Chordata; Mammalia; Primates; Hominidae. The record is from RNAcentral.